This 72-nucleotide transfer RNA is filed under the name Phycisphaerae bacterium. RNAcentral's name for it is "tRNA-Gln". It matches the Rfam family "tRNA". From Rfam's summary of the family: Transfer RNA (tRNA) molecules are approximately 80 nucleotides in length. Their secondary structure includes four short double-helical elements and three loops (D, anti-codon, and T loops). The record is from RNAcentral. RNAcentral also lists the same sequence under 1 other name. Lineage: Bacteria; Pseudomonadati; Planctomycetota; Phycisphaerae.
UGGCCCGUGGUGUAAUUGGUAACACACCUGGUUUUGGUCCAGGCAUUCCAAGUUCGAGUCUUGGCGGGCCAG